AUACGUAGGGGGCGAGCGUUGUCCGGAAUGAUUGGGCGUAAAGGGCGCGUAGGCGGCCCGGUAAGUCUGGAGUGAAAGUCCUGCUUUUAAGGUGGGAAUUGCUUUGGAUACUGUCGGGCUUGAGUGCAGGAGAGGAAAGCGGAAUUCCUAGUGUAGCGGUGAAAUGCGUAGAUAUUAGGAGGAACACCAGUGGCGAAGGCGGCUUUCUGGACUGUAACUGACACUGAGGCAUGAAAGCGUGGGUAGCAAACAGGAUUAGAUACCCUGGUAGUCCACGCCGUAAACGAUGGGUACUAGGUGUAGGAGGUAUCGACCCCUUCUGUGCCGUCGUUAACACAAUAAGUACCCCGCCUGGGGAGUACGGUCGCAAGACUAAAACUCAAAUGAAUUGACGGGG
This 397-nucleotide ribosomal RNA is filed under the name uncultured bacterium. RNAcentral's name for it is "partial 16S ribosomal RNA". It matches the Rfam family "Bacterial small subunit ribosomal RNA", at positions 523 to 918 of the family's 1533-position model. The record is from RNAcentral.